This 817-nucleotide non-coding RNA is filed under the name Marmosa demerarae (long-furred woolly mouse opossum). Lineage: Eukaryota; Metazoa; Chordata; Mammalia; Didelphimorphia; Didelphidae. The record is from RNAcentral.
GCCUUACUGUUAAUUUUAAUUAGAUCUACACAUGCAAGUUUCCGCCAUCCUGUGAGAAUGCCCUUAAAACUAAAACUAGUCUAAANGGAGCUGGUAUCAGGCUCACUAUAAGUAGCCCACUACACCUUNCUCAACCACACCCCCACGGGACACAGCAGUAACUAACAUUAAGCAAUGAACGAAAGUUCGACUAAAUCAUAAUUAUUUANGGGUUGGUAAAUUUCNGUGCCAGCCACCGCGGUCAUACGAUUAACCCAAAUUAAUAAAUUNNCGGCGUAAAGAGUGUUUAAGCUCAAAAAAUUUAAUAAAGUUAAUGAUUAACUAAACUGUAAUACGUACUAGUUAACACUAAAACUAAUGAUUAAAAUUACUUUACCAAUGCUGACACACGACAACCAAGACACAAACUGGGAUUAGAUACCCCACUAUGCUUAGUCAUAAACUAAAAGGACUUAAUAACAAAGUCAUUCGCCAGAGAACUACUAGCAACCGCUUUAAACUCAAAGGACUUGGCGGUGCCCUAAACCCACCUAGAGGAGCCUGUUCUAUAACCGAUACACCCCGAUAAACCCAACCCUAUCUUGCCAAUACAGCCUAUAUACCGCCAUCGUCAGCCCACCUUAAAAAAGCUUAAUAGUAAGCAAAAUUAUUAGUCAUAAAAACGUUAGGUCAAGGUGUAGCAUAUGAUAAGGAAAGAAAUGGGCUACAUUCUCUAACCAUAGAGCUUAACGAAUCACAUUAUGAAAUUAAAGUGCUUGAAGGAGGAUUUAGUAGUAAAUUAAGAAUAGAGAGCUUAAUUGAAUUAGGCAAUAGGGCG